Long non-coding RNA from Anolis carolinensis (green anole), 7990 nucleotides. RefSeq lists it as uncharacterized. The transcript has 4 exons. The record is from RefSeq and is a predicted model, not a curated record. Lineage: Eukaryota; Metazoa; Chordata; Lepidosauria; Squamata; Anolidae.
GGCCUCGCGUAGCUUCCUUCUACCGCUACUAGUGUAAAGCCUCGUGACUUGAAGGUUGGGUUAUUUCUCUGAAAGCUGCCAGGUUCGAAUCCCACCCGGGGAGAUCGCGGAUGAGCUCCCUCUAUCAGCUCCAGCUCCAUGCGGGGACAUGAGAGAAACCGCCCAGAAGGAUGCCACAUUGCAACACCAAAGCAGCAAAACAAAGAUGAUCAUCAUCGGCAAGACACCUGAACAGAAUAAAAAGUGGAGAGAGAAAAGGCAUCAAAAAAGAGAAUUUGCAGAACUAAACAUGUCAGAGCAAACAUAGGGAACAUAUAGAUGAGUUGCCUAACAUUAUUUCAUUUUGUAAAAGUUUUUAAAGUGAAGCCACAAUCUUUUCCUUCUCCCAUUGCAAUGCAAGAAUUGUCGAAUGCAUAACAACUGCCAUUCUUAUGGAUUUAUUCAUUUUGAAAAUAUCCUGUUUUUCUUCAUAGUUUUGUGAUAUCACCCAAUGUUAUGCAUUUUACUGAAUUAAUCAUAUACAUCUGGAUUACUCUAGUAGGCAACAGGGCUGUAACAAACAGGAUGCAAUGAAUAUUAAUCACUUCCCACUCAGAUGGUGCUUCCAGAAAAAUUUAUAUUGUGCAAUCACUCUGUCCCACUUGCUGAAUUUCAUUGGGGGACAGGAAUCUAAUGACUCUUUUACACUACACAAUUAUAGUGAUAGGAGCCCACUAUAACUGCAACAAUUCCAUCUUAUGGAAUCCUGGGAUUUGCAGUUUUCUGAAGGCUAUUUAGAAAUUUUAGCCAGAGAUCUCUAGUGCCAUCUCUACAUACUCAUAAGAUGUUGCUGUUAUGUGAUUUCAGUGUCCACAAGAAGUUCGGAGGUCUGGUAUGUCUAACUUUCCAGAAGGCCAAAUCAGACACAGACAGGUUGAAGGCAAAAUCGGAGGUUUGUUCUCAAUGGUCAGAGAGGAUGUUGGUGAAGAAAGCACUCCAAAGAACUGACAUACAACAAUUGCAAACACAGAGCAUAUUUACUGUAUUUGACUGAGUCAGCACCAUCUGAGUGGGAAGAUCAGAAACUGGUUAGGAUCUGUUCCUUAAGUGGACCAGGACUCUGUCUGUCAUCAUCGCUAGUUGGUUCUUGCUUUGGUGGGAAACUUUAAUAAACUGUCAUCGGUUUAUUUUGAAGAGCCUGUCAAUUCAUUGACCUGCUCCUGAGAGGGGGACAACCCGAAAGGAAUGUGGUGUGGCAAUCGAUAUUGCGCUUAUGAUAGGUUUAAUGGUUGAGCUUUAGGGGAUACAAUGGUGAUAUUCAAGUAUGAACAAUGGGUGCUUUAGGAUGACAGCCACUUCAAUGGGUGUUGCCAAGAUGAGUCUGGCUGGGGACAUGGGAGAGGAAUUGCUCCCACAGAUAACCCAGAUUGUAUCAGGUGAAGCAGCAAAAGAACCCAGGGGCUCUGACACAAUUGUGUGUUUCCCCCCAAGUUCUUCCAAUUCAUUGUAAAAGGAUUGCAGUAAUUUGAGGGAUUGUUUCCUGGAGUCCCCAUAGAGCUGUGCCUCAUAAUUUAGGGUCCAGUUUUUUUAUAACAUUGCCGUGAUAGUUAAGGUAAAAUCACUUUGCUCUAAGUAGGGUUGCUAGCUCUCAGGGCCUGGGGGAUGAGGGUACACAUUUUCCAGUUUUGGGUGGGCUUUGUUGCUUUGGAAAACUCCAGCUCAGCUAAGUAGAACAGUAGCUUGCUACAAUAAACAAGGCUUAAUUUGUAUUGCAACUUUAAAAGAUUCUCUAGAAGGUCUAUGUGUUCAUUUAGCUACCUACCUCCCUCAUCCCAAUUGUUGUGGCAUCAGGGCUCAUACUCCACUCUGCUAGAAGCAAGUAGGAAAAUUAAAUGUUCUCCAUUAAUAAGUGAGAAGAAAUAAUCUCAUUUCACCUUGAUCUGGGAACAGCCGAUUCAGCUAGGAUUUCUAUCAAUUUUCAAGCAAGAAAAUAAAGGAUUCCUCCAGGCAGGAAUCAGCCAGGCCUUGGAGCUGCAAGGCUUUGCAAUGUCAAUGAAGGUAAUUAAUUGCAACACUCAGACUUGCUUCCAACAGACAAGAGUUCUUUCUCCCACCCUGGACCUUCCACAGAUAUAUAAACCUCCCUUGCUUUGUUUCCAACAGACUUCACAACCUCUGAGGAUGCCUGCCAUAGAAGUGGGAGAAACAUCAGGAGAGAAUGUAUCUGGAACAUGGCCAUACAGCCCAGAAAACUCACAGCAACCCAGUGUUUCCAGCCAUGAAAGCCUCUGACAAUACAAGAAAAAUAGUUUCAAUGUGUAUGUUUAAAUAACAAGCUUUGUGAUUGACACUCACCUGUUGUUCUUGUGUAUUCAUUCAUUUGCCACAGGCUCCUGGACCACCAAAUCUCGCUCUUCCUGUGCCUCAUCCAUCCUGAUGUUGCUAUGAUUCAUUGAGACCCAGAGAAACACUGGAACAGUUCUCCCCACAUUGAUGCCUUUAGUGCUGAGGGUACUGAAAACAAAGAACCAGUAGCCCAGGAAGGAAGGAAGACAUUGCAGGAAUGGCAGUUGAAGAACAGCCUAUAUGCAAUCAUGAAAUCAUUUCUCCCUUGGUCCAUGACAGAACUCUCUAGAGCAACCAGAACCACCAACAUUGUAGGCCAACCACCAACAUGUAAAGACCCCACGAAGGUCUCUACUGCUGAUAGAGACAAAGGAAUCAGAGAAGCAUAUAGCUAUGUUUUCAUGGCCAGAUGCAGAUUGAUGACAUCAAACACUGAAGCCUCCAAAGAAUGUCACAAGAAGAUAUUCUCAGUCUGUAUUCAGCUAUGGGAAUAUAGUCUGAUCUGCUUUGUUGGCCCUUCCCUAUUGCUCUCUACCAGCAAUAGAAUGGCUUGUAUGGGAGGCAGCUGGCUAUCAGCAGAACCAGGAGUCCUGGUGAUGGUGAGAAGAGAGUCAUCGCAGAGUUCUAUGUGCAAAAUGCUUUUGCUUACACUCAACCAUGUAAGAUCUCAGCCACAGCAUUAUAAUGCUCCUAUGUAAUGAGUGCCAUUACAAGCUUCCUUUCAAGAACUGAACUGGACAGUAGCUAACCCUGCUUUGUGUUGGCUCUUCAAAGAUGAAUCAAUACAAAGGCUCAAAUGAUGGAAAAGGAGUCCAUUAGGUUCACACAGUUCCUAGGGAAGCCUCAAUUUCAUAUUUCUCAGGUUAUCACGCUUGCCAUGUCAAUCUAUCCAUUCUGAGGCAUGGGAAGUGUUCCCAAAACAUAGAUGAAUUUCAAACAUUCACAGAAAAUGUAUACAUUUUUAAACUAUGCAUAUAUUUCUUCGUGGGACUAGAAAAAAUAUUCUUGCAACUCAGUAUAAAAUUGGGAUGGACAAGAAUGACCAAGGAAAGCACACAAUGGUGCAAUGAAACAAAAUUUACAUAUUUUCACAGUAAGACUGUCGGCACUGUAAAAUACAUGGUGAAAACCAGUGGUUGUACUUUCACCCUGUCGAACUCUCUCACUGAAGAAAUUUGGCAAUUGGUGUUAGAAAUGUCCAUAUAUUUUUUUAAAAAAACCCACAUCUCUAAUCCUUAAAAGCUAGAAAGAUAAACUACAAAAGUUGAGUAUUAGAAAAAACCUACAUGGCAUGGGAUGCCAACUCAGUUACUUGACUUGGUUAACUGUUUCAUCAAUUGCAUAGCUUUUUUACCCUUGUUUUAUAUAAAUAUGAUAAACUGCAUGAUUCCUGCUGUUUACAAGAUAUAGAUAACAAGUCACAGAUAACUGCUGACUGUUGCCAUGCUCCUCUUUUUUCCAAAAGAGCUCCCAGAAGAUUGUUUCUAGGGUCAUUAUACAAAGGGCAAUGUAACAAAUAGUGUAUUAAAUCUUCUAUUUCCCCCGACUCACAAAUACAAAGUUGUUGGGCAUGAGCGAUCCCUCUGUAUCUUCCCUCUAGCCAGCCUGAUGGCAUUGUUUGGAAGCACAAGGCUGUAAAUGUUUUUCUAAGGGCUACAGACGUUAAGUCUUGAAGAUCUUGUUGACAAUAUUGGUCACUUUUUAGUAGAGGGUACUAAAUAGUGAAAAAGAUAAAGGUUGUCUUUUAAAAAAUGUGAAGGACAAGAAUAAUGCCAUUAUGCUUAUGUCUUACCACAGGUAAAAACAUCUUUAUAUGGAUAUUAAAUCAAGUAUAAUUACAGAGAUCAAACAUUUUUGUGUGGACAAAAUAUAUACAUCCAUUAUGUAAACUUGCCCCUUUGUCAUUUAAGGACCACAAGGCACAUUGAAAAGUUAAGACAGACUGAAGAAUAUAUAAAUCAAUAAAAAUAAAAAUGUUGACAUUAUAGUUUAAUUGUAUUUGCCUUUUAUACCAAAAACCCAGAAGUGCUGUGCGAAAGGUCCCAAACUCCACUUCAAGUCAGUCAUAGAGCCAUCAUCACAGGAGGACGUGACUUAAGUGUUUCCCUCCCAACAAUGCCAAUUAUUCUUCUCUCAUCUUGUAGGCUUGUCCUGUCAGAAAAAGAUAUCCUGCACAACAAUUUCAUGCCUAACUUUCUUAUAAUUGCCCCUCAGCUCAACCAAUGAAUCCUAGGACAAGAACUGCUUUCAAUUUGGUAUUUUUAAAGUCUUCCUCCUAGCAGGCAAGCAGGAGAAACUGUGCCUAGUCUUUCCCCCCACUUUUUUGGUUUCAAGCCCCCUAAGGUUGUAGUAGCUCAGGUGUGAAAAUGUGUGGUCCUUGAGACUGUUGGACUACAACUUCCAUCAGCCCUUCCGAAUAGCGAAGAGAGGAAGUUACAUUUAAUUACACUGGAAGGCUGUAAGUUUCCCAUUCUGCUUUAGACUCUCAAAUGCUUGAAUACUUCUUGACUUACUUACAAAAGUCCUCUCCUUCAGAUGCAUUUUAGGUGUUAGGGAAAUGGCAUAAAAAACCACACUGAGCUUGAGUGCAAAGGAUAAUGAAAUGUGGGGAAGGAAGAGCAUCAGGCUAGGAUGCCAAUGGUAUUAAGAAAGGUACUGUUAUCACCCAUAGCUCUCCAAAUCUAAAGCAUCAUACCCCACUUUUGAGUACUGAGCUCAAUUUGAGCCAGCUCUAGAGCAUGUGGAUCACGAGGACCACUGAUCCUUAAGAGCAUGUGCUGAGUUCCUGAGCAUGAUCAUCAAACACAAACACAGGGAACUUGGAUGCAAAUUUUCCAGGCCAAAGAGCUGUACUUUCAGCUAGGCUUUACCUCUGAAGUCUUUCUGACAGCUAGCAUCCCCUCCCCUUGCCUCCCCAAUCCCAGUGCAAUAGGGGAAAAUAAAAUGUGCAUUCAAGAAAGUACUGUGACAAGCUGGUUAGACUCAGCUCUGGAACACAGCACCAAGACAAGGAAAGGCCAGUCCAGUACGUGGCAUUAAUGGUCCAAAGAACUCAAAAGAGUCUGUCCCCACAGGAAGCUUUUGUCACAUAGAUCUCAAAUGUCCACGCUUCAUUGCUGAAGGGUAAUACUUGAGAAAUAUCUUUGUGACUAUCUCCAGUGUGUUACCAACAGCCUUGGUUGGGUACCGUUUCCCAUUGUAGAUAAAUCCCCUCUCCACUUGGAAAACGGCUUGGUUGAACUGGUUUUGGUGAAAUGGUGUCCCUGUGUUGAGGCAUUCCACCAGGGUGGAAACAAAGAGGCUCCAGCGUACUCCAUAAUAAUCCAGCACCAGACCUCCGAGUUGCUUAUUGGCAUAGUCCAAAAUAUUGCCACUGGGCCCCCAGAGGGUCAGCUGGUUGCGCGCAUUGAGGUCAUACAGCUCUGCCUCUCUGUCGCUGGUGGCUGUUGAGCGGGCAUCCUCCAGCCAGCGGCCGAGCAAAAAGCGCCAGUCACUGGCCAAGAGAUUGUCCAAUUCUGGGAGAAGGUCGUAGACCAGCACGCCACCUGCUGUGAGGAGGCGGGCUAGCAUGUGGCUCUGGAACGCCUGUUUGAUCUCCUGGUAAUAGUCACUCACCAGCUGCUGCAUGGCCUGGCGUGUCACAUCUGCCAAGUCGUAGUUAAAGGUGCUGCUGGUGCCAAGCUCUUUGGCUGAACUCAGCAGCAACCUCCAAGCUUCAUAGACGUCACUCUGAUUGUACCAUAGCUCCAUGUUCAUCCGCAAAGAUGGACGGUGUACCAGCGGGCUGUGGUUGUGGUUGACGCAAACGCCCGAGCAAUUGUAGACACUUUGCAGCAGUCUUUGCCAGGCCUCUGUUGCCUGUGCGUUUGUGGCACCAUAGCGCUGCGUGGCAUAUGAGGCCACCCACUGCUGAAGAUUCAAUGGCUCCUUACACCAGCCCAGGUCCGUCAUCAGCUCAUACAUCACAUCAUUCUGUUCAAUGCCUUCAGGGGUCAAGCCAAUGCCUACCAUGGUGGAGUUGGGGAAACCUCUGGCUUUGAAGGGACCCUGGUUGAUGCUCUCCACUGUGCCAAAAAGGCCAUGGUUCCCGCCAAAGUUCUGAAGCAUGCACCAGAUGAAAGGCUGCCCAUAGAAGGACUCUGUCCAAGAGUAGACAGGCUUGGAUUCGGCAAAGAGGUCCAGCACCACCAUCCUGCCAAGAGGCACACCCUGCAAAAGGGCUCGGACUUGGGCUGGCUGCCAGAAGUCUGGUUGGUGCUGGAAAAGCCAGCCCUGCAUCAACCACAAGGCACUGGGAUCAGCUGUGGGGAGAGAUGUUGCAAAUCAUUACAAGAAAAAAUAACAGGACUUACUUCUAUUUGCAGAUUUCUAAAACAUAAUCAUGAUGAUGUGCAGGAAACUGAUAAAAGGAUUUCCUAGGAUCUUUUUUUAAACCAUCUCCUUCCUUGAGUUUCGAAAAAUCUGAAAAUUCACAGGGAAUAAACCAAGACAGGAGGAAUAUCAUUUGGAGAUAUAGAUUAUACACCCAAUUUACACAGACAACACAGAGGCUUUUCUCCAAUCAAGAUGAGGUCACAGAGAAAUACCAACAUGGGCAAAAGAAUUAUAGACUAGUUUUGAUUGGAGGAGAAAAGGCAGGAGGAUAAUGAUGAGACAAGAGGACUUGCUGAGUCCUACCUCCUGUCAUGGAGCGGAAGACAGCUGCGCUGACCUGGGAGAGGUAGGCAGGAUCCGAGGAGAGUGGACGCAUCUCAUUGAAGGUGUCGGCACUAUACACAUGAUCUGUACCAAACUCCUUGAUCAGUUCCUUUAAGAAGAGAGUCCCAAUGACCUGGAACAUGGGAUCUUCAGGUGAUAAGAGGUAGGCACAUGAGAAGGUGCAAUCAAAGUGGCUCCAACUCCCUAGCCGUGUGACAUUGACCCGAGGGAAAACUCUACAACAUGAAAAAAAUAAAUUCAGAAAAGCACUGCAGCAUCAACUUGUGUGCAAAAUACUGGACACUAAGCCUUUGGUAAAACAACUCAGAAACUCCAAGCUGUAGAAGAUAAGAAGAAAUGAGAGUGACAGGUCUGCUCUUUUCAACAAUGCCAGAAUCAAACCUGCAGUUAACCUUCUCCUCUCCAUAAUCCUAUUCCAGCUGUGUUUCCUCCUUGAUCACUUUUUGACACUGGGUACCCACCUGAUCUUGGAAGCCAAGUAAACCAGCCCUGGAUAGUAUUUGGAUGGGAAACCCAUAACAAAUACUAGGGCACAUGGGGACAAUUUAUUUUAUACCCAUAGACCACAAAGGCACCGCUGGAAUAUGCUAUUCACAACCUGGUUUAGAUGGGCCAAUAACCUGACCUAUCAACACCGAUGAUCUGUUCUUGUUAUCCCAACCCCACUGCUUACCCUCACAAGAAGCAUGGGCAGUAUUUACCUUAAAAUACCACGAGGGAUGUGCCCAGAGAAGGCUGGCAGUACUGUCAACAUUCCCAAGGUCCGCAUUCUCUCCAGAAUCCUGUACUGGGAAGAUAAAGAGAGCGGGAUGGAGCAGGAAAAUGAGGCUCACAAAAGAACCUGUUUUGUGUCUUGACUAGUAACAUUCAGAAAAAGGCCCAUGUUUUAGGAUGAGUAUUGUGAAUUCUACAGCUGAAACAUUAAACUAGGCUUUAGUUUCUGGCA